RNAcentral lists this ribosomal RNA (253 nucleotides) under uncultured bacterium. RNAcentral's name for it is "partial 16S ribosomal RNA". It matches the Rfam family "Bacterial small subunit ribosomal RNA", at positions 524 to 776 of the family's 1533-position model. The record is from RNAcentral.
UACGUAGGGGGCAAGCGUUGUCCGGAAUUAUUGGGCGUAAAGAGCUCGUAGGCGGCUUGUCACGUCGGGUGUGAAAGCCCGGGGCUUAACCCCGGGUCUGCAUUCGAUACGGGCAGGCUAGAGUGUGGUAGGGGAGAUCGGAAUUCCUGGUGUAGCGGUGAAAUGCGCAGAUAUCAGGAGGAACACCGGUGGCGAAGGCGGAUCUCUGGGCCAUUACUGACGCUGAGGAGCGAAAGCGUGGGGAGCGAACAGG